RNAcentral lists this ribosomal RNA (252 nucleotides) under uncultured bacterium. Its description in RNAcentral is "partial 16S ribosomal RNA". It matches the Rfam family "Bacterial small subunit ribosomal RNA", at positions 524 to 775 of the family's 1533-position model. The record is from RNAcentral.
UACGUAGGGUGCGAGCGUUAAUCGGAAUUACUGGGCGUAAAGCGUGCGCAGGCGGUUUGCUAAGCUUGAUGUGAAAGCCCCGGGCUUAACCUGGGAAUGGCAUUGAGGACUGGCAGGCUAGAGUGUGGCAGAGGGGGGUGGAAUUCCACGUGUAGCAGUGAAAUGCGUAGAGAUGUGGAGGAAUACCGAUGGCGAAGGCAGCCCCCUGGGCCAAUACUGACGCUCAUGCACGAAAGCGUGGGGAGCAAACAG